RNAcentral lists this ribosomal RNA (30 nucleotides) under Fusarium proliferatum. RNAcentral's name for it is "partial 18S ribosomal RNA". Lineage: Eukaryota; Fungi; Ascomycota; Sordariomycetes; Hypocreales; Nectriaceae. The record is from RNAcentral.
CUCCGUAGGGGAACCUGCGGAGGGAUCAUU